GACUAACGCCGGCGGCGUGGUUAACACGUGCAAGUCGAACGCAGAGCGAUGGAAGCCCGCUUGUAUCAAUCUUAGUGGGGAACGGGUGAGUAACGCGUACUCAACCUGCCCUUCAGAGGGGGACAACAGUAGGAAACGACGCCUAAUACCGCCUACGAUCCGACCUCGGCAUAGAGGGAGGCAGAAACGUCGCCUAGAGAUAUAAGCUAUCAAGGAGGGACGGGUCAGCGUUCGUUGAGGUAGUGGGAAGGGUAACGGCCCACCAAGCCGAUGUUCACAAGCCGGUUCGCCAUGAUGAAGGGCCACAUUGGGAGUGAGACUCGGCCCAGACUCCUCCGGGAGGCAGCAGUGGGGAAUCUUCCGCAAUUGAUGAAAGUCGGACGGAGCAACGCCGCCUGAGUGAUUACUGCUUUCGGGUUGUAAAGCUCUCUUCUCGGGACGAAAGGCCUUUUU
RNAcentral lists this ribosomal RNA (453 nucleotides) under Veillonella sp. oral taxon H09. RNAcentral's name for it is "bacterial SSU rRNA". It matches the Rfam family "Bacterial small subunit ribosomal RNA", at positions 28 to 459 of the family's 1533-position model. Lineage: Bacteria; Bacillati; Bacillota; Negativicutes; Veillonellales; Veillonellaceae. The record is from RNAcentral.